AGCGUUGGAACCACCUGAUCCCAUCCCGAACUCAGCAGUGAAACGAUGCAUCGCCGAUGGUAGUGUGGGGUUUCCCCAUGUGAGAGUAGGUCAUCGUCAAGA
RNAcentral lists this ribosomal RNA (102 nucleotides) under Pseudomonas graminis. Lineage: Bacteria; Pseudomonadati; Pseudomonadota; Gammaproteobacteria; Pseudomonadales; Pseudomonadaceae. The record is from RNAcentral.